Apteryx haastii (Great spotted kiwi) is the source of this 1639-nucleotide long non-coding RNA. The record is from Ensembl. Lineage: Eukaryota; Metazoa; Chordata; Aves; Apterygiformes; Apterygidae.
AUUGAAAAUGCGGCUGAUGUUCUGUGGUGAACACGGGCAUGGAGUUGUCCUUUCCACUUGUUGCUAAGUAGAAGCUUGCAGCCUCCUGCCGGUCAGCUCGGGAGCGCAAGUAGCCUUUUUUGGCUGCUAAAUUCAUCUAGCGCUGGUGUGAGCAGUGGUGUUAGUAAUCUCUUAUUGCCAGGGGGUGUGUGCUUUAGAAAUUGCCCCUGUCAAAAGAGCAGGGAGCUUGUGAGAUUUUCCUGCAAGGUCUGAAUGCUGUGUCUGUCUUUGAGGUGACCACCUGCUUUUAUGACAUGUUAGGAAGUGUACCAUGUUAGAGGUCUCUGAUUUUCUGUCCGCGUACACAGUCAUUGGAGAAUGGGUUUAACGGCUGUUGAGAAGGAAUGUCACUCUGCCAAAAAUGGUAUGUGCUACGUUUUCCAAGAGAUUUUUUGUCCAGAGAAGUUGAGGCACAAGCGAGAAGCAAGAGGUGGCCUGAUGAGCUGCUGUGAGGGCACUUCUUGUCUGCUUCCUGGAGUCCAGCAUGCCAUCACAGUGUCCUUCUGGGAGACCUGGGUGAGGACUGUUGGUGACCAUGUUCCCUCCUUGGAGCAUGCUCGUGUGAGCCAGAGACGCUCGCGGUUUAAUGGUUUCUGUUAGCCGAGGUUCAGGCUUGGAGUUUCUGAAGGUCUUGAUGCUUCCGUGAGUCUUUGGGAUUUUACUGACUGCCCUGGAGAAAGUUCUCUUCUCCCUGCUUAAAGGCUUUCUGUUGAAGCUGGACYGUCAUUGCAUCUUCCCAUCUCAGACCCUAAUGCAUUCCAAUCCCUCAGCGAGAUGGGUAGUUAAUCAAAGCGGUCAGAGGCAUUUCUCCAGUUUGUGUCUACACAGAGCCUUGCAGAGAGGGGAGAUGGCCACGUCACAAGAAGUCAGGCCUCUGAGGGCGAUGGGUGGCUCUGAGACAGCUGUCCUUGGUCAACAGUGGAGGGGGCAGCUCCAGACCCAGUGAUGCCUUUGGAAAGAGUCUCAGACUAGCAGAUUCCUUGAGGCUGCAAUGGGGGAGACAUGUGGAGGUAGGGAUCCAACGCCCUGCUCAAGGCAGGUGCCAGUAGAGGAGGUAUCUCUGGGCCUUUUCCAGUGCAGUUUUGAUUAUCUCCAGUCUUUGAUUAUCCUGGAGAUCUGAGAAGCCUCUCUGGAUCUGUGUGCCACAGUGCGGCCACCCUCAUGGAGAAAAAGGUUUCUUCUUAACGUUGAAGAAGAAUUUCCCGUUGUGCAAUUUGUCCCGGUUGCCUCUCAUGCUAUUAGUGUGCACCUCCAAGAAAAUCCAUCUCCAUCUUCUCUGUACCCUCCAUAAGGUAGCUGUGCACAGUAUGAAGAUUUCCCUUGGCCUUCUCUUGUCUAGGCUGAACAAAGCCAGCUCUCGCAGCCUCUCCUUGUAUGCCCCACGCUCCAGCCACUGACCGUCUUGGUGUCCCUGUGCUGGACUCCCUGCUGUGUGUUAGUGCCUUUGCAGAACUGGAGGGCCCAGACGGGAGCCGGUAUACAGACACGGUCUCCCCUGUGCCAAAAAGUGGGGUAGAACAUCUCAGUGGCCCUGCUGGCUGUGCUCUCACCAAUACAGCUCAGCAUCGAGGGGAGACAUUUGCUGCUGACUGUUGAGACU